This 479-nucleotide ribosomal RNA is filed under the name uncultured bacterium. RNAcentral describes it as "partial 16S ribosomal RNA". It matches the Rfam family "Bacterial small subunit ribosomal RNA", at positions 28 to 507 of the family's 1533-position model. The record is from RNAcentral.
GACGAACGCUAGCGGGAGGCCUAACACAUGCAAGCCGAGCGCUAGAGCCUCUUCGGUGCCCUGAGUGCGGCGCACGCGUACGGAUCACGUGUGCAACCUGCCUUUAUCUGGGGCAUAGCCAUUCGCAAGGAAGAUUAAUACUCCAUAUUAUACUGAAUGGCAUCAUCUGGUAUUGAUAACUCCGGUGGAUAGCUAUUGGUACGUGCACGAUUAGAUAGUUGGUGAGGUAACGGCUCACCAAGUCAGCGAUCUUUAGGGGGCCUGAGAGUGUGAUCCCCCACACUGGGACUGAGACAAGGACCAGACUCCUACGGGAGGCAGCAGUGAGGGAGAUAGGACAAGGGAUGAGAGCAUGAUCCAGCGAACCCGCGUGAAGGAAGACGGCCCUAGGGGUGGUAAACUUCUGUUGGAUAGGGAUAAACCUAGAUACGUGUAUCUAGCUGAAGGUACUAUACGAAUAAGCGCCGGCUAACUCCGUG